Molecule: ribosomal RNA, 2457 nt
Filed under: Escherichia coli
Lineage: Bacteria; Pseudomonadati; Pseudomonadota; Gammaproteobacteria; Enterobacterales; Enterobacteriaceae
Description: partial 23S ribosomal RNA
Rfam family: Bacterial large subunit ribosomal RNA
Source: RNAcentral
GUACACAAAAAUGCACAUAUUGUGAGCUCGAUGAGUAGGGCGGGACACGUGGUAUCCUGUCUGAAUAUGGGGGGACCAUCCUCCAAGGCUAAAUACUCCUGACUGACCGAUAGUGAACCAGUACCGUGAGGGAAAGGCGAAAAGAACCCCGGCGAGGGGAGUGAAAAAGAACCUGAAACCGUGUACGUACAAGCAGUGGGAGCCUCUUUAUGGGGUGACUGCGUACCUUUUGUAUAAUGGGUCAGCGACUUAUAUUCUGUAGCAAGGUUAACCGAAUAGGGGAGCCGAAGGGAAACCGAGUCUUAACUGGGCGUUAAGUUGCAGGGUAUAGACCCGAAACCCGGUGAUCUAGCCAUGGGCAGGUUGAAGGUUGGGUAACACUAACUGGAGGACCGAACCGACUAAUGUUGAAAAAUUAGCGGAUGACUUGUGGCUGGGGGUGAAAGGCCAAUCAAACCGGGAGAUAGCUGGUUCUCCCCGAAAGCUAUUUAGGUAGCGCCUCGUGAAUUCAUCUCCGGGGGUAGAGCACUGUUUCGGCAAGGGGGUCAUCCCGACUUACCAACCCGAUGCAAACUGCGAAUACCGGAGAAUGUUAUCACGGGAGACACACGGCGGGUGCUAACGUCCGUCGUGAAGAGGGAAACAACCCAGACCGCCAGCUAAGGUCCCAAAGUCAUGGUUAAGUGGGAAACGAUGUGGGAAGGCCCAGACAGCCAGGAUGUUGGCUUAGAAGCAGCCAUCAUUUAAAGAAAGCGUAAUAGCUCACUGGUCGAGUCGGCCUGCGCGGAAGAUGUAACGGGGCUAAACCAUGCACCGAAGCUGCGGCAGCGACACUAUGUGUUGUUGGGUAGGGGAGCGUUCUGUAAGCCUGUGAAGGUGGCCUGUGAGGGUUGCUGGAGGUAUCAGAAGUGCGAAUGCUGACAUAAGUAACGAUAAAGCGGGUGAAAAGCCCGCUCGCCGGAAGACCAAGGGUUCCUGUCCAACGUUAAUCGGGGCAGGGUGAGUCGACCCCUAAGGCGAGGCCGAAAGGCGUAGUCGAUGGGAAACAGGUUAAUAUUCCUGUACUUGGUGUUACUGCGAAGGGGGGACGGAGAAGGCUAUGUUGGCCGGGCGACGGUUGUCCCGGUUUAAGCGUGUAGGCUGGUUUUCCAGGCAAAUCCGGAAAACCAAGGCUGAGGCGUGAUGACGAGGCACUACGGUGCUGAAGCGACAAAUGCCCUGCUUCCAGGAAAAGCCUCUAAGCAUCAGGUAACAUCAAAUCGUACCCCAAACCGACACAGGUGGUCAGGUAGAGAAUACCAAGGCGCUUGAGAGAACUCGGGUGAAGGAACUAGGCAAAAUGGUGCCGUAACUUCGGGAGAAGGCACGCUGAUAUGUAGGUGAAGCGACUUGCUCGUGGAGCUGAAAUCAGUCGAAGAUACCAGCUGGCUGCAACUGUUUAUUAAAAACACAGCACUGUGCAAACACGAAAGUGGACGUAUACGGUGUGACGCCUGCCCGGUGCCGGAAGGUUAAUUGAUGGGGUUAGCGGUAACGCGAAGCUCUUGAUCGAAGCCCCGGUAAACGGCGGCCGUAACUAUAACGGUCCUAAGGUAGCGAAAUUCCUUGUCGGGUAAGUUCCGACCUGCACGAAUGGCGUAAUGAUGGCCAGGCUGUCUCCACCCGAGACUCAGUGAAAUUGAACUCGCUGUGAAGAUGCAGUGUACCCGCGGCAAGACGGAAAGACCCCGUGAACCUUUACUAUAGCUUGACACUGAACAUUGAGCCUUGAUGUGUAGGAUAGGUGGGAGGCUUUGAAGUGUGGACGCCAGUCUGCAUGGAGCCGACCUUGAAAUACCACCCUUUAAUGUUUGAUGUUCUAACGUUGGCCCGUAAUCCGGGUUGCGGACAGUGUCUGGUGGGUAGUUUGACUGGGGCGGUCUCCUCCUAAAGAGUAACGGAGGAGCACGAAGGUUGGCUAAUCCUGGUCGGACAUCAGGAGGUUAGUGCAAUGGCAUAAGCCAGCUUGACUGCGAGCGUGACGGCGCGAGCAGGUGCGAAAGCAGGUCAUAGUGAUCCGGUGGUUCUGAAUGGAAGGGCCAUCGCUCAACGGAUAAAAGGUACUCCGGGGAUAACAGGCUGAUACCGCCCAAGAGUUCAUAUCGACGGCGGUGUUUGGCACCUCGAUGUCGGCUCAUCACAUCCUGGGGCUGAAGUAGGUCCCAAGGGUAUGGCUGUUCGCCAUUUAAAGUGGUACGCGAGCUGGGUUUAGAACGUCGUGAGACAGUUCGGUCCCUAUCUGCCGUGGGCGCUGGAGAACUGAGGGGGGCUGCUCCUAGUACGAGAGGACCGGAGUGGACGCAUCACUGGUGUUCGGGUUGUCAUGCCAAUGGCACUGCCCGGUAGCUAAAUGCGGAAGAGAUAAGUGCUGAAAGCAUCUAAGCACGAAACUUGCCCCGAGAUGAGUUCUCCCUGAGA